This is a non-coding RNA of Microcebus murinus (gray mouse lemur), 1008 nucleotides long. The record is from RefSeq and is a predicted model, not a curated record. NCBI's taxonomy places the organism in Eukaryota, Metazoa, Chordata, Mammalia, Primates, Cheirogaleidae.
GAAAUAUACAAGGCACAAAGUGGGCCUUAGCCCCUAGGCCCAGGGCAGCUGUAGGGAUGAUGGGGUCCCAUGACAGGAGGUGCCAUACAGGCCACAGGAGUAGGUGGCUCCCUUCUAAUCUAGGGCAGGAGCUCGCACACUACCCAAAAUGACGGUCUCAAGAAAAGGCAGCGUCCCUCCUACACAAGGGGCCCAGACUGUGGCAAGCCUUUCCUUUAGGCUCUCUGCUCACCACGUCGUUGACCUGGGGCCUUGGGAGAAGUACCUUUCUGAGGAGAGGCCCUGGCCUUGGGAAGUGAGGGACCCAGGAGGGAGUCUGGGCUCUGCCUUCUGUGCCUUCAUUUCCCCCACUAAUCCCCUAAGCUAAUCGUUGCCGAGGCCGGCCUGCCUAUCUAGGAGCUCCCAGUCUAGAGUUAAGAGGCUUAUGAACAGAAUGACAGGAAGGAUUCCAAGGACUUGUAUCCUUCCAGCUCCAAUCACAGGCUCUGCAGGCUGUGGGUAGAGCCUCAGCACCCAGACAGGAGUCAAUGCUCCCGUGGGGGGACAGCCCCUGCCUCACCCCACUGCUGCCUGUCAUCUUUCCAGCUGCAGGACAAACGGCUGGCAUCUCGCCAAGGGCCUGGCUGCUGUGGGGCCAGUGGACCAACUCUGCCCCCUGCUGGCCGAGAAGGAUCCUGCUGUGCUCCCAGGGGGAGGCAGGCUGCUUGGUGGGCACAGAGGGCUUCCACCCAUAGCAGCUGAACACCCGCUACGGACUCGAUACUGUGCCAGAUGCUUCUCCACUGCCAACUUCCCCGGACAAAAACAAGGCAGCAGCUGGUGUUAAAUGCAGGAGGGGGCAAGGUACCUGCGUUUACUUAUGGAAGAAAACCAAAAAAAUCAGCAAAAGUGGCUGCCACCUGCUGGAGCUGGAAGGAGGCUUGCACUAAAUACAUCUUUUUUGAAUUUUGAACCAUACAAAUGUUAUUACCAAUUUAAAAAUUACCUAUUAAAAAUACAUUUAUUCAC